This 126-nucleotide small RNA is filed under the name Marmota monax (woodchuck). Lineage: Eukaryota; Metazoa; Chordata; Mammalia; Rodentia; Sciuridae. The record is from RNAcentral.
GCUGGGCACAGUGGUGCAUGCCCGUAAUCCCAGCACCUUGGGAGGUUGAGGCAGGAGGAUCGCAAGUUCAAAGCCAACCUCACAACCUAGUGAGGCCCCAAGCAACUUAGAGAGACCCUGUCUCAA